RNAcentral lists this small RNA (219 nucleotides) under Pseudomonas protegens. RNAcentral describes it as "Pseudomonas sRNA P4". The record is from RNAcentral. Lineage: Bacteria; Pseudomonadati; Pseudomonadota; Gammaproteobacteria; Pseudomonadales; Pseudomonadaceae.
GAAGAAUCUCCUUUCGUCGUGUUCGUACGUUGGGUGAAUAGCUCUUGCAUGACGCCAUGGCACUCGGGCCAGAAGCCUUGAUCCAGACGGCUUGAUGGGUGAGGCCAUGGGGAGAGAAGUUCGCAGUUUCCGGUGACAGAUAAAGGAAAAAACCUCGGGAGAAAGCGGCUGUUUUUGCAAAAGAUUCUCGGGUGUUUGUCGGAGGUUUUCGCGCCUUUC